RNAcentral lists this long non-coding RNA (705 nucleotides) under Dasypus novemcinctus (nine-banded armadillo). RNAcentral describes it as "lncRNA (ENSDNOG00000050019.1)". Lineage: Eukaryota; Metazoa; Chordata; Mammalia; Cingulata; Dasypodidae. The record is from RNAcentral.
GGGGCCGACCCCUCGGCACCCGCCCCGCGACCCCCCGUCGUCCUUCGGCCCCCUGGGGCCGGGCUGAGGGUGGGCGCGGGCGGUCUUCCGGAAGCGGAGGCUUCCUCCGCCUGGCCUAGUUGUGGCCCGGAGGGAGGAAGAGCCGUGACGGGGUCGGGGGCGCUUUUCGAAGUUCCUGGUUAAGCCUGCGGGGGACGCGGGGCCCGGGCGCCAGGGCGGCGGGGCCGGGGCGGCCGCAGAGGGGCGCUGUGCGCGCGCGGGAGGCCGCGUCGGCCCCGCGGGGCGGGGGAGGGAAGUGAGCCACAGGCCUAGGUUCAGUUCAGAGUGUGUGGCCGCUGGGUUUCGGGCAGAGCGGAGUUCAGCCCGCUGGUCACUGACGGGAAGAAGCCGCACAACUCGAUCUAAAAUGGCAGCGAAGUGUCCCACGUGGAGCCGAGAAGGGGCGAGGCACAAGUGUGCGCCGGAGACGGUGGAACUGAUCGAAACCCAGCCUGAAGGUGACAAAAUUGAACAGCUCGACAAGGAAAGAUUAUCAACAAGUGGCUCCUGGGAAAUGCUGGCUUUAGAUGGUGAUUUACGGCUUAUUUCCUCCUCGUGAACAAGAGGAUUAGUUGCCAUGUUUGGAGGUCACACUCCCCAGUAGGUAGAAAUUCUCCUUCUCCUUCUCUUUCCUUUUCCUCUCCCUCCUCCUCCUUUUCUUCCCCC